AGAGUUUGAUCCUGGCUCAGAACGAACGCUGGCGGCAUGCUUAACACAUGCAAGUCGAACGGACUUGUAGGGCUUGCUCUACAAGUUAGUGGCAGACGGGUGAGUAACGCGUGGGAAUGUACCUUUUGGUUCGGAAUAACUACGGGAAACUGUAGCUAAUACCGGAUAAGCCCGAGAGGGGAAAGAUUUAUUGCCAAAAG
Molecule: ribosomal RNA, 200 nt
Filed under: uncultured bacterium
Lineage: Bacteria
Description: partial 16S ribosomal RNA
Rfam family: Bacterial small subunit ribosomal RNA
Source: RNAcentral